Molecule: ribosomal RNA, 469 nt
Filed under: uncultured bacterium
Lineage: Bacteria
Description: bacterial SSU rRNA
Rfam family: Bacterial small subunit ribosomal RNA
Source: RNAcentral
UACCAGACUCCUACGGGAGGCAGCAGUGAGGAAUAUUGGUCAAUGGGCGGAAGCCUGAACCAGCCAAGUCGCGUGAGGGAAGAAGGCCCUGCGGGUCGCAGACCUCUUUGGACGGGGAGCAAGGCCGCCGACGUGUCGGCGGAAGGAGAGUACCCGUAGAACAAGCAUCGGCUAACUCCGUGCCAGCAGCCGCGGUAAUACGUAGGGGGCAAGCGUUGUUCGGAAUGACUGGGCGUAAAGGGUGUGUAGGCGGUGUAGCAAGUUAGAAGUGAAAUACCUAGAGCUUAACUCAGGUGCUGCUUCUAAAACUGCUAUACUUGAGUGCAGUAGAGGAAAGUGGAAUUCCUAGUGUAGCGGUGGAAUGCGUAGAUAUUAGGAGGAACAUCAGUGGCGAAGGCGACUUUCUGGACUGUAACUGACGCUGAGGCACGAAAGUGUGGGGAGCAAACAGGAUUAGAUACCCGCGUAA